This 397-nucleotide ribosomal RNA is filed under the name uncultured bacterium. RNAcentral's name for it is "partial 16S ribosomal RNA". It matches the Rfam family "Bacterial small subunit ribosomal RNA", at positions 523 to 918 of the family's 1533-position model. The record is from RNAcentral.
AUACGUAGGGGGCGAGCGUUGUCCGGAAUUACUGGGCGUAAAGAGCUCGUAGGUGGUUUGUCGCGUCGUCUGUGAAAUUCCUGAGCUCAACUCGGGCGCUGCUUCUGAAACUGCAGGACUUGAGUGCUGGAGGGGAUAGCGGAAUUCCUAGUGGAGCGGUAAAAUGCGCAGAUAUUAGGAAGAACACCGGUGGCGAAGGCGGCUAUCUGGACAGUAACUGACGCUGAGGCGCGAAAGCGUGGGGAGCAAACAGGAUUAGAUACCCUGGUAGUCCACGCUGUAAACGACGAAUACUAGGUGUAGGGGGUAUCAACUCCCUCUGUGCCGCAGCAAACGCAAUAAGUAUUCCGCCUGGGGAGUACGGCCGCAAGGUUGAAACUCAAAUGAAUUGACGGGG